Molecule: RNA transcript, 1396 nt
Organism: Caretta caretta (loggerhead turtle)
Lineage: Eukaryota; Metazoa; Chordata; Testudines; Cheloniidae
Gene: CIRBP
Gene name: cold inducible RNA binding protein
Source: RefSeq, a predicted model, not a curated record
AUGAGCAGGGCGGGGGCCAGACGAGGGGCUAUAUAAGCAGUUGCGCCGCCAGCUCUCAGCGUACAUCGUGCUGGGAUUUUGAAACGUUGUGCUGCCCUUGCACUCACCGAGGACCGAACAAAAUGGCAUCAGAUGAGGGAAAGCUCUUUGUUGGUGGACUGAGUUUUGAUACCAAUGAACAGUCACUGGAGCAAGUUUUUUCUAAAUACGGCCAGAUAUCUGAAGUUGUCGUGGUGAAAGACCGAGAGACCCAGAGGUCCAGAGGCUUUGGGUUUGUCACUUUUGAGAACAUAGAUGAUGCUAAAGAUGCAAUGAUGGCUAUGAAUGGAAAGUCUGUUGAUGGGCGUCAGAUUAGAGUUGACCAGGCAGGUAAAUCAUCCGAAAACAGAUCCCGUGGAUACAGAGGGGGUUCAUCAGGUGGCAGAGGCUUUUUCCGUGGAGGCAGAGGUCGGGGGGGCCGUGGCUUCUCUAGAGGAGGUGGAGACAGAGGCUAUGGAGGAAGCAGAUUUGAUUCCAGAAGUGGGGGAUAUAAUGGGUCUAGAGACUACUAUAGCAGCAGCAGGAAUCAAGGUGGCUAUGGUGACAGGUCUUCAGGAGGGUCCUACAGAGACAACUAUGACAGUUACGGGUGAAGAGAAGAUGGACAGUUGAGCCUGAAACAGCAUUCCUGAGCAUUUCAUGAAAGCAGUACCAACAAUCAACUUUCUAAGCAGCAGUGAGCUGCAUUGAAGAGGAUUGAUACGGCUGACUGACCGGUGGAGUUCAAGAGCUUUGAGCAGUGUAUAAUAUCUGAUAUAGAUCAAGUGAACAAUCUGACUUGUUAUAACUGAUAGAAUAAAGAAUUGGACUGGAAAAAGCAAUGAUUUUUUAAUAAUUUUAUAAAUGCAAGAAAGAUGGAUUUAGUCAAGGCACGAUUUGAUACAGAUUUUGGGUUAUAUGAUGUAUAGUUUAAAGCUUUAGCACUGGAAAUCUGUCCCUACUUAUGAAGGUCCAGUUGAUCCAUAAAGGGCUAAAGAUCAUUGAGUGAGCCCCUGUGUAGGAUUCUAAGAGGUUUGCUUAUGACUGGGGGGAUUGAAGGCUCCUCCUAAAAUACUUUAGAAUCUGUCUGUUUUAAUGGCUGUUGAGGGGGUAAUGAUUUGGUGGCUUACCCCUUCAUGACCAAGUCAGAGUUCAAAAAAAAAACCUAAAGUCACUGAAACACCAUUGGAACCUUGUAUAUGGUUGUUCUAGCUACAUGUAUUCCAUCUAUUUUGCAUUCACAAAUGUUACUACCUUCUGAUAACUUGAGUUUGAAGGGGCCCUAUGGUCAUUUGAGCAACUACAUAAACACUAGUGGUCAGUAUUUGUUUCUGUCCCAAACCUAUUACUCUAAUAAAACUUGGAAUUUUAGAAAUCA